RNAcentral lists this ribosomal RNA (406 nucleotides) under uncultured bacterium. Its description in RNAcentral is "partial 16S ribosomal RNA". It matches the Rfam family "Bacterial small subunit ribosomal RNA", at positions 30 to 526 of the family's 1533-position model. The record is from RNAcentral.
AUUGAACGCUGGCGGCAGGCUUAACACAUGCAAGUCGAGCGAGCGGCGGACGGGUGAGGAAUGUCUGGGAAACUGCCGGAUGGAGGGUGAUAACUACUGGAAAAGGUAGCUAAUACCGCAUAGCAUCAGAGGUGUCCAGAUGGGAUUAGCUAGUAGGUGGGGUAAGUGCUCACCUAGGCGACGAGCCAUAGCUGGUCUGAGAGGAUGACGCGCCACACUGGAACUGCGACACGGUACAGCCUCCUACGGAAGCCAGCAGUUGGGAAUAUUGCGCAAGGGGCGCAAGCCGGAUGCCGACAUGCCGCGUGUGUGAAGAAGGCCUUCGGUUUGUAAAGCACUUUCAGCGAGGAGGCGUUACUCGCAGAAGAAGCACCGGCUAACUCCGUGCCAGCAGCCGCGGUAAUUC